CUUCUCCACUCCCCUCUGACUUCUCCAAGGGGGCUCCACCCUCAACUCAACCCAAGCAACAGGGACAGAUGAAAAACAAAAUCCAAUCAGGGCGAUAAAUGGCGGGGGGCAGGACGUGGUGGUCUCCAGGCUGGCUUCGUGCGUUCUUGCUUUUGUCACUGCCCCCCUAAACAAAGAGGGGGAAUAGAUCAAUUGACAUGAAAUUUGGGGGUUCCUAAUUUCUCUAUGUAAUUCUGCAAGUCUGCUGUCAAUCCUCCUGACUUUUCCA
RNAcentral lists this long non-coding RNA (268 nucleotides) under Homo sapiens (human). RNAcentral describes it as "HSALNT0171148". The record is from RNAcentral. Lineage: Eukaryota; Metazoa; Chordata; Mammalia; Primates; Hominidae.